UACAGAGGGUGCGAGCGUUAAUCGGAAUUACUGGGCGUAAAGGGCGCGUAGGCGGCCUUCUAAGUCGAACGUGAAAUCCCCGGGCUCAACCCGGGAACUGCGUCCGAUACUGGAAGGCUUGAAUCCGGGAGAGGGAUGCGGAAUUCCAGGUGUAGCGGUGAAAUGCGUAGAUAUCUGGAGGAACACCGGUGGCGAAGGCGGCAUCCUGGACCGGCAUUGACGCUGAGGCGCGAAAGCCAGGGGAGCAAACGGG
This 253-nucleotide ribosomal RNA is filed under the name uncultured bacterium. RNAcentral describes it as "partial 16S ribosomal RNA". It matches the Rfam family "Bacterial small subunit ribosomal RNA", at positions 524 to 776 of the family's 1533-position model. The record is from RNAcentral.